This 856-nucleotide ribosomal RNA is filed under the name uncultured bacterium. Its description in RNAcentral is "bacterial SSU rRNA". It matches the Rfam family "Bacterial small subunit ribosomal RNA", at positions 32 to 881 of the family's 1533-position model. The record is from RNAcentral.
AACGCUGGCGGCGUGCCUAACACAUGCAAGUUGGAUGUGCCGCAAGGUGCAUGGCAGACGGGUGAGUAACGCGUGGGGAACCUACCCCUUUGUGGGGAAUAACGCUCCGAAAGGAGUGGUAAUACCGCAUGAGACCAUCGACUGGGAUGUUGGUGGUGAAAGCUGGGGACCGCAAGGCCCAGCGCAAGGAGAGGGUCCUGCGCCUGAUUAGCUAGUUGGUGGGGUAACGGCCUACCAAGGCAUCGAUCAGUAGCCGGCCUGAGAGGGUGAUCGGCCACACUGGAACUGAGACACGGUCCAGACUCCUACGGGAGGCAGCAGUGGGGAAUUUUGCGCAAUGGGCGAAAGCCUGACGCAGCAACGCCGCGUGGGUGAUGAAGGUCUUCGGAUCGUAAAACCCUGUCGUCAGGGACGAAGGUUGCAUGGGUAAUAUCUGUGCAGCUUGACGGUACCUGGAGAGGAAGCCCCGGCUAACUCUGUGCCAGCAGCCGCGGUAAUACAGAGGGGGCAAGCGUUAUUCGGAAUUAUUGGGCGUAAAGGGCGCGUAGGCGGUGAUUUAAGUGAGAUGUGUAAUCCCCGAGCUUAACUUGGGAACUGCAUCUCAGACUGGAUCGCUAGAGUGCUGGAGAGGGUGGUAGAAUUCCACGUGUAGCGGUGAAAUGCGUAGAGAUGUGGAGGAAUACCAGUGGCGAAGGCGGCCACCUGGACAGUAACUGACGCUGAGGCGCGAAAGUGUGGGUAGCAAACAGGAUUAGAUACCCUGGUAGUCCACGCUGUAAACGAUGAACACUUGGUGUGGUGGGAGUUGACCCCUGCCGUGCCGUAGCUAACGCGAUAAGUGUUCCGCCUGGGGAGU